UCAAGGGUAGCCUAGUGGGCAUGGCAUCUGCCCGGUAAGCGGAACGUUGUGGGUUUGAUUCCCGCUCCUGGAC
RNAcentral lists this transfer RNA (73 nucleotides) under Cordylochernes scorpioides. RNAcentral describes it as "tRNA-Thr". It matches the Rfam family "tRNA". Rfam says of the family: Transfer RNA (tRNA) molecules are approximately 80 nucleotides in length. Their secondary structure includes four short double-helical elements and three loops (D, anti-codon, and T loops). Lineage: Eukaryota; Metazoa; Arthropoda; Arachnida; Pseudoscorpiones; Chernetidae. The record is from RNAcentral.